AUGGAGACUCACUGCUGUAAGGACUUGGU
This 29-nucleotide non-coding RNA is filed under the name Cricetulus griseus (Chinese hamster). Lineage: Eukaryota; Metazoa; Chordata; Mammalia; Rodentia; Cricetidae. The record is from RNAcentral.